Molecule: long non-coding RNA, 1133 nt
Organism: Lycium barbarum (goji berry)
Lineage: Eukaryota; Viridiplantae; Streptophyta; Magnoliopsida; Solanales; Solanaceae
Exons: 5
Source: RefSeq, a predicted model, not a curated record
AGAGAGAAAGAAAAAUUGAGAGCAUCACUAGAGGGCCAUUCGGCCACUACAAGAAAAAAAAAAAUUAUUGUGGAGCUCAAAUCUUUGGUUCAAAACUUAUCUCUUUUGAAUUCCUACUAAGCCCGGAACCCUCUUCAACGUGGUAUAAACUUUGAGGCAAGAAAGUACUUUUUUUACAAAGUGGAGAAUUUGGAAAAGAUCUUGGAGAGCCCGAGACUUGAUUCGGGAAUUGAUUAGCGAGCGAUCGAGGCUAAAAGGGCGACGAGGCGAAAAGGAUCCACGACUAAGUCACUGACAGGUACACCCAGGUGAGUAGAAGAUUUUGCUAGAAGGUAUUCCAGCGGGAUUGGCGAGCUCCAUCUCAGUUCGGAGUAUUGCCGAGUCGAGUACCUUUGUUAUGGUGUUUUGUAUGUGUUAGAGACUUUGCAGACAGUGUUCUGUGGAUAAGGCGUCGAGAAGUGCGAAUCAUUUAUAGAUGUUAAAAGAGUUUUCGUAAAGCGAAUGUUUAAGGGUUCGCUCGACUCUGAAGGGAGUCGGGUGCCCAUCAUGCCCUAUCAAGAUGAGGGUGUGACACUUUACAUACUCAGUACAUAUUUCGUACUGACCCCCUUUCUUCGGGGGCUGCGUUUCAUGCCCGCAGGUACGGACGUUUGUUCUGGUGACCCGCCAGUGUAGGAUACAUUCUGCUACUUUGGAGUGCUCCUUUGACUCGGAGCCCAUACUUUUGGUAAAGACCUUUCAUGGUAUAUGUCUCUGUAUAUAUGUAUGACUAUCUGGGGUACGGCGGGGCCCUGUCCCGUCAUAUGUUUUUGUUAUGUUUUGUAGAGGCCUGUAGUCAUAUAUGUGGGUCAUGUUUAUUCGUUGUGAUUAUGAUCUGCGUCUUAAUGCGGUCCCGUUUGCUAUUAUGACCAAAACGACCCAUUUGUCUGUAUAUGUGUGUGUAUCUAGGCGAUGUCUAUUCCGCCAGCGCGACCGCUUAAGACGAUAUUUGCUUCCAGUAUCUGCUUUAAUUAAUGUAUGUUAAGUUUGAUUAAGUCUUGGAUACGACGAUCCGGUAUGUAAGUCUGUUUGGGUGUCCAAGUAGGGCACCAGUCGCGGCCCACGGGGUUGGGUCGUGACAAUCAUAGUCUUUU